This 312-nucleotide unclassified non-coding RNA is filed under the name Spizellomyces sp. Its description in RNAcentral is "partial internal transcribed spacer region". The stretch from base 1 to 46 matches the Rfam family "Eukaryotic small subunit ribosomal RNA", at positions 1786 to 1831 of the family's 1831-position model. Lineage: Eukaryota; Fungi; Chytridiomycota; Chytridiomycetes; Spizellomycetales; Spizellomycetaceae. The record is from RNAcentral.
AAGUCGUAACAAGGUAACCGUAGGUGAACCUGCGGUUGGAUCAUUAACAAUUUUAGCAGGAGCUUGUCUAUCGAUGAGCACCUGUGAAAAAUCAACCACCUUUUGUGCACUGUAUGUCUCUGGCGGCUGGGGCAACGCAGCCUGAUUUGCAAAAAUCGGAUGCAUUGCUCUGUCAGCUUGGUUCUUUUCGGGACCAGGCCGUGGACAACCCGCCAACCACUUUGUUUAACACACUGUUUUAAUCUCUUGUCUAACAAAUUACUUUGUAUUAAAUGUACAAUAAAACUUUUGGCAACGGAUCUCUUGGCUCUC